ACAUAUUUCUUAACUAGAUGACUCAAUAUAAGAUAUGACAAUAAUUGAAUGUUGAGUCACUUUACUCAAGAGAUUGCCUAAAUAUAAGCAAGCACAUGUCACUUGAACUAAAGAGAUAGUUUCAUUAACCAAGAUGGUUCAAGGACAAGCAUGUGAGGCAAUAGGAAGAUUCAUCAAGGUCAAAUCAAAAAAUUUUUUUUUUGUUUUUAGAAUCAAUUUAGCUUAGAUUCUAUUUGCUUAAGAUAAUUAUCAACAAGACAUGCUAGCUAAGUUUUAAUCAACUUAUCUUAAACAAUUGUUUCUAUCAAAAUUCAGAUUAUGAUUUAUUUGUUAUCAAUAAAUAUGAUUCAUUAAAGUUAGAUUGAAGUCUUGCACAAGGGCACAUAAUGAGCAUAUAAUCUAGUCUACUAACUGUACGAUAAAAUACUUAUUCUAUCAUGCUUCAAUAUAGCUUUAAAACAAUAGAUCUACUUUGCUCAUCCUUUUCAAAUUCUACAAGAUGGGGUCAUAGACAUACCUUCUUCAUGCCAAUCUUCUAUAAGAGUUUUCUUGUGGACUAACUUUGGUCAAUGAAGAUCCCCUUUCUUGUUUGUCUUAAUUUGGAGUUCAAGAAAAAAUGUUAAUUCAUUCAUUAUACAUAUUUCAAACUCACUUUGCAUGAGCUUAGUAAAAUCUCCAUAUAAAUCUUCAUUAGUAGAACCAAAAAGGAUGCCAUCAAUGUAUGNN
This 726-nucleotide long non-coding RNA is filed under the name Phoenix dactylifera (date palm). RNAcentral's name for it is "long non-coding RNA (PDAC_LNC010707)". Lineage: Eukaryota; Viridiplantae; Streptophyta; Magnoliopsida; Arecales; Arecaceae. The record is from RNAcentral.